Molecule: non-coding RNA, 87 nt
Organism: Gossypium raimondii (Peruvian cotton)
Lineage: Eukaryota; Viridiplantae; Streptophyta; Magnoliopsida; Malvales; Malvaceae
Source: Rfam
CACGUCAGCGCGCUUUGUUGAUGUGGACACAAAUCGCGCUUUCGUGGAUGCGAUUUGUUGCCACGUCAGUAAAGCACGCUGACGUGG